UUUAGCCAAAAAAUCCAAAGAAAUUUCCAGAGAAAGAAAAAGGAAAAAACCUCAUCUCUUCUUCUUCCCCAAGAAGGAAUAUUUUCCUACACCAUCCAUUAAAGCUUAAGGUUUGGGAAUUCAAGCUUCUUUUAUUCAUUAUCUACCUCUAGCAACAAUAAAAUAAGACCGUACGCGUAUUUGGAUUGAAGAAGUAGAGAAUUUGAAGGGUUAAGCAACGAGCUAUUUUAUUUGCUUGUUAUUAUAUUUGGAUUAAGCGAUCGAGUGUUUUCUUUCAGGAUUAAUAUAUGGUGAUGUGGUCGAGCUUCCAUCUGUUGUUCCGGAAGUCUCAGUUAUGGGGAGUCCUAUUUUCUUUAGACCUGCAGUAGUUAUGAUAAUAGACAUAGCCGAUAGCAAAUGAUUUAUGCUUGUUUUACACCUUGUACUAGCAACAUAUUUUCGAAAAGUGAAUUAUUCAGGAAUUUAAUAUAUGGUUAUUUGGUAUGUUAUACAGGGUGGUUUGUGUGUUUUUAACAGGUGUGGUUUAUUAAGUUUACAGGCGUUAUAUUGUCGAUUUUUUUGAAAAUGGUUUUACUAAGUAUUAUAACGAUUUUGAGACGCGAAAAAGUUUUAGGUAAAUUUAGGCUUGCUACGGGUUUCGGAACCAAACCCAUUCCCUAGCGCCGGUCGCGGCCUUCGAUUUCGGGUCGUGACAAAAAAAGAGAGACAUUCUUUAAGCAUAACAAACUGAUUAAGAAUUGUUCACGACCUCUCUUCAAGAACAUAUUGAUAAUCAUCCGCAUGAGAAAAUAUAAAAGUAAAUAAUUUAGUAGCCGUCGAUCUCCACUAGAAAUUUUAAAUUCCAAUCAAUUUGAACCAUAUUAAUUUCUAAUCGUAAAUACUAUUUUUUUAGGAUGAUUAAAAUAAAAUAUUAUUAUAAAAUAAUUAAACUAAUAUUAUUUUUGU
Long non-coding RNA from Mercurialis annua (annual mercury), 945 nucleotides. RefSeq lists it as uncharacterized. The transcript is spliced from 3 exons. The record is from RefSeq and is a predicted model, not a curated record. NCBI's taxonomy places the organism in Eukaryota, Viridiplantae, Streptophyta, Magnoliopsida, Malpighiales, Euphorbiaceae.